This 1545-nucleotide long non-coding RNA is filed under the name Salmo salar (Atlantic salmon). RNAcentral's name for it is "lncRNA (ENSSSAG00000103992.1)". The record is from RNAcentral. Lineage: Eukaryota; Metazoa; Chordata; Actinopteri; Salmoniformes; Salmonidae.
GGGUCUGGCUGUAGGGUUAUAUAUAGAGGGGUCUGGCUGUAGGGUUAUAUAGAGGGGUCUGGCUGUAGGGUUAUAUAGAGGGGUCUGGCUGUAGGGUUAUAUAGAGGGGUCUGGCUGUAGGGUUAUAUAGAGGGGUCUGGCUGUAGGGUUAUAUAGAGGGGUCUGGCUGUAGGGUUAUAUAGAGGGGUCUGGCUGUGGGUUAUAUAGAGGGGUCUGGCUGUAGGGUUAUAUAGAGGGGUCUGGCGGUAGGGUUAUAUAGAGGGGGAUCUAGCUGUAGGGUUAUAUAUAGAGGGAUCUAGCUGUAGGGUUAUAUAGAGGGGUCUAGCUGUAGGGUUAUAUAGAGGGGUCUGGCUGUAGGGUUAUAUAGAGGGGUCUGGCUGUAGGGUUAUAGACGAGACGGCAACAUAGAGACUAAGAGCGACGGCCACAGAAGAGGGCAGAUAAGAGAGACGGCCACAGAAGACACUUGGGCUAAUGGGCAGGAGUUCAAGCAGUUCAUUGUUGAUAUGCCAGCUAAGCCUGGGACGAUUUUUGAGCAGGAAACAUGGCUCAAACCGAAUGUGGAGUUUAUCAUACAGGGAUAUGUAGUAGUUCGUAGGGAAAGAAUAUGUGGAGGUGUGGUUGAGAGGAGGGGUGGUAGUGAACUGCUAUAAUCCCUGUCAGAUAUUGGACCUGGAAGUGCUGGAGAGGGUGGAGGGCCAGGAUAGAAGUAAGGUAAUGUGGUGUGGGGAUGUUAAUGCCUGACAACACACUCUGGGGUGGGGCGAUGGAUGGAAAUGUGCAAGUGAUGGAAAAUCUGAUAGAAAUGAAAGAUAUGGUGCCUGAGUGAUGGCCGAGGGACCAGGAUUGAUGUAGCCACAGGGAUAGAGUCUGCCUUACACCUCACUCUGGGAUCUAGUGCCAUUGCAGGAAUCUGUGAGGGGGAGGUAUGGGAGGAGUCGACAGUAGGGAGUGAUCACUACUAUGCACAGUAGGCCGGAGGGAGGAGGAGGUGUCAGUGGAUGGAGUAGGCAGGUGGGUGUUCGGAAGGGCAAAGUGGGAUCAGUUUCAGGAGCUGAGUGAGCAGGUGAUGGCUCGGGUGGAUAUGAGAUGGGAUGUGGAUAGUAUGAAUAACUGGCUGAGAACAGCGUUAGUGGGGGCAGCUACUGAGGAGAUACCUAAGAGUUCAGGGAGGAGGAGGAGGAAAAAGCAGUUCCAUGGUGGAGGAAUUUUUCUUCUACAACGAGUCGGACGGGAAGGAUUUACUCCAGACACCCGACAAGGCCCUCAUCCCCGUCAUUCCCAGGAGGAAAAGACGGAGGUAUCGUUUACGACGGUCCGGGUGCCUUGUAAGGAUCCAUCGCCGAGAGAAGUCGUAGCUGAACGACGACAUGAAUAACAUACAGCUGGCGGGUUUUAAGCUUUUUCAGCAGGAUAGAACAGUGGCCUCUGGUAAGACACGGGGCGGCGGCCUAUGCAUAUUUGUAAACAAGAGCUGGUGCACGAAACCUAAGGAAGUCUCAAGGUUUUGCUCGCCUGAGGUAGAGUAUCUCAUGAUAAGCUGUA